CCUACGGGGGGCAGCAGUGGGGGAUAUUGCACAAUGGGGGAAACCCUGAUGCAGCGACGCCGCGUGAGUGAAGAAGUAUUUCGGUAUGUAAAGCUCUAUCAGCAGGGAAGAAAAUGACAGUACCUGACCACGAAGCCCCAGCUCACUACGUGCAAGCAGCCGCGGUAUUACGUAGGGCGCAAGCGUUAUCCGGAUGUACUGGGUGUAAAGGGAGCGUAGACGGUUUUGUAAGUCGGGAGUGAAAGCACGGGGGCCAACCCCGGGAGUGCUGUGGAAACUGUGUAACUGGAGUACAGGAGAGGCAGGCGGAAUGCCUGGUGUAGCGGUGAAAUGCGUAGAUAUCAGGAGGAACACCGGCGGCGAAGGCGGCCUGCUGGACUGAAACUGACGUUGAGGCUCGAAAGCGUGGGGAGCAAACAGGAUUAGAUACCCUAGUAGUC
Molecule: ribosomal RNA, 440 nt
Filed under: uncultured bacterium
Lineage: Bacteria
Description: partial 16S ribosomal RNA
Rfam family: Bacterial small subunit ribosomal RNA
Source: RNAcentral